RNAcentral lists this transfer RNA (74 nucleotides) under Herbaspirillum sp. 3C11. RNAcentral describes it as "tRNA-Pro". It matches the Rfam family "tRNA". From Rfam's summary of the family: Transfer RNA (tRNA) molecules are approximately 80 nucleotides in length. Their secondary structure includes four short double-helical elements and three loops (D, anti-codon, and T loops). The record is from RNAcentral. Lineage: Bacteria; Pseudomonadati; Pseudomonadota; Betaproteobacteria; Burkholderiales; Oxalobacteraceae.
GGCGUAGCGCAGCCUGGUAGCGUACUUGCAUGGGGUGCAAGGGGUCGAGUGUUCGAAUCACUCCGUCCCGACCA